RNAcentral lists this ribosomal RNA (367 nucleotides) under uncultured bacterium. RNAcentral describes it as "bacterial SSU rRNA". It matches the Rfam family "Bacterial small subunit ribosomal RNA", at positions 225 to 608 of the family's 1533-position model. The record is from RNAcentral.
AUGGGCCCGCGUCUGAUUAGCCAGUUGGCAGGGUAGCGGCCUACCAAAGCGACGAUCAGUAGCCGGCCUGAGAGGGCGGACGGCCACACUGGGACUGAGACACGGCCCAGACUCCUACGGGAGGCAGCAGUGGGGGAUAUUGCACAAUGGGGGGAACCCUGAUGCAGCGACGCCGCGUGGGUGAAGAAGCGCCCCGGCGCGUAAAGCCCUGUCAGCAGGGAAGAAGAAGGACGGUACCUGACCAAGAAGCCCCGGCUAACUGCGUGCCAUCAGCCGCGGUAAUACGUAGGGGGCAAGCGUUAUCCGGAUUUACUGGGUGUAAAGGGGGCGCAAACGGCGAUGCAAGCCAAGAGUGAAAGCCCGGGGC